UACGAAGGGAGCUAGCGUUGUUCGGAAUCACUGGGCGUAAAGCGCACGUAGGCGGAUUUGUCAGUCAGGGGUGAAAUCCCGGGGCUCAACCUCGGAACUGCCUUUGAUACAGCAAGUCUUGAGUUCGAGAGAGGUGGGUGGAAUUCCUAGUGUAGAGGUGAAAUUCGUAGAUAUUGGAAAGAACACCGAUGGCGAAGGCACUCUACUGGGCUAUUACUGACACUCAGAGACGAAAGCUAGGGGAGCAAAUGGG
Molecule: ribosomal RNA, 253 nt
Filed under: uncultured bacterium
Lineage: Bacteria
Description: partial 16S ribosomal RNA
Rfam family: Bacterial small subunit ribosomal RNA
Source: RNAcentral